Non-coding RNA from Tachysurus fulvidraco (yellow catfish), 452 nucleotides. NCBI's taxonomy places the organism in Eukaryota, Metazoa, Chordata, Actinopteri, Siluriformes, Bagridae. The record is from the annotation of a RefSeq genome assembly.
UUCAGCUAAAACCAUUCAUCAUGUUCGCUGUUAUAUUCAUGUGUCUGUGGCAUUCACUAGGUAACUCCAUGGCAGAUUCAAUAGAGACACUUUUCUCUCAUAAAAUUGUAGACGAAGGUGAUUAUGUUACUCUGUCCUGCAAAUACGACUCAAGCUACCCUUCAGGAAACUACCUGCACUGGUACAGACAAUAUCCAAAAUCUAACCCAGAGUUCCUUCUUUAUAUUACUGAUACUGGAGCUCAAAGUCCAAACAUUCCCCCAAGAAUGUCUGCUGAAGUUAAUAGAGAUAAUAAACAAGUGGAUCUGAUCAUCUCCUCUGCUGCUGUAUCAGACUCUGCUUUAUACUACUGUGCUCUGGACUGUGAUGGAAAUGAAGACAUGUCCAACAUUGUUAUUGGUAUUCUGAUAGUGAUUCCAGAGGACUCUGUAACCGUACUCGCUGAAUCUUGA